GGGCUAGUUCCGGGGAGCGGGGCCAGUUCCGGGGAGUGAGCACUUAACGCAGAGUCAGAAAGCUGGGCUCAGGUCUCCUGCUGUCCCAGCUGGGGGCCCCCGGUGUCCUCAUGUGUAAAAUGAGGGCUUCCAGGCUCCCAUCUCUCUAAGAGCCCUUCUGUCCAAGGCUGUGGCCCGAGGUCAUGCACAUUGUGGCAGGUGAUCUGGCCCCUUGGGAGGUUGACAGGGCACAGCAUGCCGCAGAGGUGGGAAAGGCUGGCAGAGAAGAGCUGUGAGCACCUGGAGCAGGGCUUGGGCUGUCCCCUCCCCUCCCCUGCUCGGGGUUCUUGGGGGGCAGUGUACCUUUCAGGCCUCCUGGAAUCUCCAGCCAGUGGAGGAGGGGUGGGUGCACUGCAGAGGGACACAGCCUCCCCAAGGGGACCCUGGGCCUACGGGUGGCCAGGCCUGCCUCUGUUCCUCCACCUCAA
This is a long non-coding RNA of Myotis brandtii (Brandt's bat), 467 nucleotides long. RefSeq lists it as uncharacterized. The transcript is spliced from 3 exons. The record is from RefSeq and is a predicted model, not a curated record. NCBI's taxonomy places the organism in Eukaryota, Metazoa, Chordata, Mammalia, Chiroptera, Vespertilionidae.